AUGACGGUGGGAGGCGGAGGCAGUGGCGGGAGCACUAACUACUGGGAAGGUCAGGAGACUUCCAGGGUUGUAAUUGGGGGCUACAGGGCCCCAUUUUUGGGGGCAAACCGAGGGCAACAGGCCACGCUCCAAGGGGGCAAGUGCGGAGCAGGGUGCCUAUCCAAAGACAGCGCCAACCGACAUGACAUUACCACCCGACCCCCUCAAAAGGCCCAAAAAUACCCCAAACUGGCACCAGGAAGCCUUCACAUUACCACCAAACCCCUCACAGAGGCCCCAAAACUCCCAAAACAGGGCCCAAACGAACAUGGCAUUGGCACUAAACCCCUUCAGAAAAGACCUAAAUUCCUCUAAACAGGUGCCAAAACCCCUUUCAUUGUCACUAGACCCCUUCAAAACUAAACCCUAAAACUUUCAACAGCAGCAGCAGCAGCAGCAACAACAACAACAACAACAAUAUGGUAAAUAAUAAUAAUAAUAAACUCCCCCUUGCUGUACAGAAAGGUGGAAUAUAAAUAUCAUAAAUAAUAUAAUAUAACCUCACUACAAAAAUGUUGACUUCUAAAAGGCACAUUGCGUUCUAAAAUCCAGAACAUUUGAUAAGCGAAAAUUUUACCUAAUUGCAACAUUCAUACUUAUCACCAACACUCACACACACACAAAAACCAAAUAUUCUAUAUUCACAACAUUUACGAAAUAAUAUCCCCUCAAAACGCAAUGUGUUAAACCGCUGACCUACUGAACUACUGGACUAAAAUGUCACAGAUUUGAAUUGGGGGACCGCACACAACCCCCACUGUUAACCUCAACUUCUACCAACCCUAAACUUCAAAAACAUACAAAUAACACUACAUGAAUAGGUACUCCUCCGCCGACAAGGUAACGGCCCUCCAUACAAUCAUACCACAUGACCUUAGAGGAGUCUACGGACAAUGCCGGCUCUUCGACUUAAAAAUACACAUAACCACCAACCCCCAGAGUCAGACACGACUCCACUUAAUGUCAAGGCAAAACCUUUACCCUUUAUCAUAACUACCACCAAUACCUCAAUACUUUAUUUCCCAUACCACCAUACUUUGCCACAGCAACGCAUGGCCGGGCACAGCUAGUUUUAUAUAUAAGAAAUAGAAACAGUACAGAAAGAUACAAGUUACACAAUAAGUCAUGAAAAACAGAUACAAUUUAUUAAAGGGUUAGAUAUGAUAGAUUUUAGGGGUUUACAGUUGCUGGUGGUUCGGUCUCAAUCUUCUGAUGCUUUGAACUUGCUCAAAGUCCUUCCUUUACAAGUAAUGGGGGAAUGAGAUCUCUCAGUUGAAGGAAAAUGACUGAACAAUUCCAAUUUAAAAUAUUGUAGUCACAUGUCCAUUGGCAUUGAGAAGGUGUUAGAAUGUUGAAAAAGCCAGUGAAUAUUCUAGUUAAUUUAGAAAUACAUUUCAACAAGCUUUGUUUCUGGAAAUGUUUCUCCUUGGGUGAAAAAUUAUGUUAAUAAUGAUCUACAUACAAGAUUUCAUUAACAGGUUUCUUUUUCUUGUUUUGCCCCAGCUCUGCUCUGCGGAAUCUCCAAGGCCUCUAGAGAAGAUUUAUGGAAUGGGUGAAUGGGAAAGGUGGGGGAAUUACAUGGGAAUAGGAAUCCAUUCUCUCAGAUGACUUGGUUUUGCUGGCAGAUGGACACCAAUUAAUGUUGUUUUAUGACCUUGCAGUUUAUUUGAAUAGUCAGAGAAAGAUGGUGGGAAUAAGGGUGCUGGAUUAAUGGGAUACUUGUUUACAGGUUAUCAGCAUUUCUCACCUGACAGGAUAUAGGAUAGCACUAUUUAAUUUUUUAGGUAAGGUGCUGAUGAUUCAUUGAGUAAAUGGCUUUAUUUAGAAGAGUAAGAUUAUUUUAAAUAACAGAUAUUUUAGAGAAAGGAAUAAGGGGUAUCUAGACUAUAUUACUGAAAUUAGUUCUAAAAGUGUAUUUGAUAUCAAGCAGUAGAACAAAGCUCUCCUGCAACAGUGUUGAAUUCAUUCCAAUCACAGCUUGUGAAGUCCACUGCACUAAUGCUGGUAGACAGCUGAGAGAUCUGAAUGAACAAAGAAAAUACAAAAGCUGUGGAAUGAAUGUCUGGAAUGUAUAUCUCUUGAUAGUCAUCAGUGUUGCUUUCUAAAAAUUACUGUGGCUUUGUAAUCAGUGAAAAAGAUAAAUGGUCUGUGGAAAGACAAGAAAAAUAUACAGCUAGGAUCUUGCUAUCAACAUACACAAAUGUAAGUCAAAUGUACCUUUGUAUCUUUAGGGUCAAUGUAGAUGGCAGGAUUGAGCUUCAUCAUCUGAGCUGACCCCCUUGCACAUUCAUCCUACCCCCCAUCCCCGAUUCUUACCACCCCACAGUGACAAUAGGAUGAUGAGUCAUCUGGCGGCUGACUGUGCUUCAGCAAUUAUUUACAAAAUGAAAAAGUCACCUUCCUGGAUCUCCUGAGGAUCUUCUAGGUGAGCCUGAAAGGUGAUUUCAUCUGGCUGAUUCUAGCUGCUGAACCACAACCAACCAUUGCCUGGGGGCUACACUACCCCAUACUCUCAUCACUGAGCAGCCUUAUAUUGUUCUGUAUUGUUCUAUCACAGUAAUUAUUUCAUAUUACAGUAGAAUCUCACUUAUCUAACAUUCGCUUAUCCAAUGUUCUGGAUUAUCUAACUCAGUCUGCCUUUUAGUAGUCAUUGUUUUUGUAGUCAGUGUUUUAAAUACAUUGUGAUAUUUUGGUGGUAAAUUUGUAAAUACAGUAAUUAUUACAUAGCAUUACUGCACAUGGAACUACUUUUUCUGUCAAAUUUGUUGUAUAACAUGAUGUUUUGGUGCUUAAUUUGUAUAAUGAUGACCUAAUUUGAUGUUUAAUCGGGUUUUCCUGAAUCCCUUCUUAUUAUCCAACAUAUUCACUUAUCCAACGUUCUGCUGGCCUGUUUAUGUUGGAUAAGUGAGACUCUACUAUAUAUUGAUAAUGUUAUAUUAUCUGUGUAGUACUGGAUUAUAUGAGGCCCCUUCUUCACAGCUGUAUAAAAUGCACACUGAAGUGGCUUAUAUGGCAGUGUGGAGUCAAGAUAAUCCAGUUCAAAGCAGAUAAUAUAAGAUUCUAAAUGGGUUAUAUAGCUGUGUGGAAGGGCCUUGAGUCUACACUGCCAUAUAAUCCAGUGCAAAUUAGAUAAUCUGUGGAAGAGGCCUAAGUGAAGCCUAACUGCCUGUCCCCUGGGCUGAGUCGGUUGCUAGGAGACCAAGUGGGCGGAGUUUAGCCUUCUAACUGGCAGCAAUUGGAUAAAAACAAUUAUUCCUUUCCCUCUAAUUAGGACUUUAUUUUUCUUUUCUUUUUGUUGUAUCAACCUAGAGCCAUGGAUGAUGGGUUGUGUUGUCAAAUUUUGAGGCUGGGGAGCCUGUAGUUUUGUUGUUUUGUCUGCUGCCCUGAUGCCAUCACUCUUUUAUAUAUAUAUAGAUUGGUCUAAUGAAGGGAAGUACUGUACAAGUUUGCAAAAGGGGAUGAUUGCAAAGGGGUGAAAAUUACACUGAUUCCUCCCUCCCUGUCCUCCUCCCUCAUUCUCUUUUUCAUUCCCCUUUUGCUUUUGUUUUUCUCUUUCCUUCCUUGUUUGCUUGCUUCCUUCUUUUCCUCCCUCUCCCUUUCCCUUUUUCUGUCUCCUUGUCUUCAUCUCUCCCUCCUUUCCCUUCCCUUCCCUCCCUUUCUUCCAUAGCAGAGUUUUAUAAUUACACUGGACUACUGAAGGGAAGCACAGGCUUGCAAACAGAGAUCGUUGCAAAGGUUUAUAAUUACGCUGGUUCCUCCCUUCCUGUCUUUCUCCCUCAUUCCCUUCUUCCUUGCCCUUUUGCUUUCAUUUCUCUCUCAUUCCUUCCUUCCCUCCAACCUCUUUCCCUUGCUCUCUUUCUCCCUCCCUCUCUGUCUUAUUCCCUCAUUCCCUUCCUUUUCUUUCUCUCUCUCUCUCUCUCCCCCCUCCCUCCCCCCUCUCUCCUUCCUUCCUUCCUUCCUUCCUUCCUUCCUUCCUUCCUUCCUUCCUUCCUUCCUUCCUUCCUCCCACAACAGGGCUUCCCUGAUUUUUUUUAAAAAGCAAUACGGAGAGGGAGGGAAAAAAGAUUCUCCCUGUGAUGGUUUGAACACAGGAAACAACAGGGGAAAAACUGAAGAAGCAAACACCUGUGAUGGGAAGACAUUACUUGAAACAGGAUUACAGUAGAGUCUCACUUAUCCAACGUUCUGGAUUAUUCAACGCAUUUUUGUAGUCAAUGUUUUAAAUGCAUUUUGUUAUUUUGGUGCUAAAUUCAUAAAUACAGUAAUUACUACAUAGCAUUAAUGUGUUAUGAACUACUUUUUCUGUCAAAUUUGUUGUAUAACAUGAUGUUUUGGUGCUUAAUUUGUAAAAUCAUAACCUAUUUUGAUGUUUAAUAGGCUUUUUCUUAAUCUCUCCUUAUUAUCCAACAUAUUCGCUUGUCCAACGUUCUGCUGGCCCAUUUAUGUUGGAUAAGUGAGACUCUACUGUAUUGGUGUUCAAAAGGUAUGAUUCUCUUCGCUAGACAGACUAUCCCUCACAUCUCUCAAGGUCCAUAGUCACAGUGAUCUUGGCCACAUUCUUUUGAUGUCAUUUGUAUAUCUGGUCUGGGAAAAACAGGAUUAAGGCAUACAUUGUAGGCAU
Molecule: long non-coding RNA, 4660 nt
Filed under: Anolis carolinensis (green anole)
Lineage: Eukaryota; Metazoa; Chordata; Lepidosauria; Squamata; Anolidae
Description: lncRNA (ENSACAG00000036747.1)
Source: RNAcentral